CGGGAGGUGGCGCAGUGGUUAAGGCACUGGACUCUCAAGCCUGAGGUUCCGAGUUCAAUCCCCGGCCACACGA
RNAcentral lists this transfer RNA (73 nucleotides) under Erinaceus europaeus (western European hedgehog). It matches the Rfam family "tRNA". Rfam says of the family: Transfer RNA (tRNA) molecules are approximately 80 nucleotides in length. Their secondary structure includes four short double-helical elements and three loops (D, anti-codon, and T loops). Lineage: Eukaryota; Metazoa; Chordata; Mammalia; Eulipotyphla; Erinaceidae. The record is from Rfam by way of RNAcentral.